RNAcentral lists this ribosomal RNA (484 nucleotides) under uncultured bacterium. RNAcentral describes it as "partial 16S ribosomal RNA". It matches the Rfam family "Bacterial small subunit ribosomal RNA", at positions 30 to 507 of the family's 1533-position model. The record is from RNAcentral.
AUUGAACGCUGGCGGCAGGCCUAACACAUGCAAGUCGAGCGGAUGAAGGGUGCUUGCUCCUGGUUUCAGAGGCGGACGGGUGAGUAAUGCCUAUGAAUCUGCCUGGUAGUGGGGGAUAACGUCCGGAAACGGGCGCUAAUACCGCAUACGUCCUGCGGGAGAAAGAGGGGGAUCUUCGGAACUCACGCUAUCAGAUGAGCUUAGGUCGGAUUAGCUAGUUGGUGGGGUAAAGACCUACCAAGGCGAGGAUCCGUAACUGGUCUGAGUGGAUGGUCAGUCGCACUGGAACGUGACCACGGUCCAUGGUCCUAAGGGAGGGAGCAGUGGGGAAUGUUGGACAGUGGGCGAAAGCCUGACCCAACCAUGCCGCGUGUGUUAAGGAGGUCUUCGGAUUGGAAAGCACGUUAAGUUGGGAGAAAGGGCAGUAAGUUGAGACCUUGCUGUUUUGACGGUACCAACAGAAGAAGCACCGGCUAACUACGUG